RNAcentral lists this ribosomal RNA (516 nucleotides) under uncultured bacterium. RNAcentral describes it as "bacterial SSU rRNA". It matches the Rfam family "Bacterial small subunit ribosomal RNA", at positions 60 to 565 of the family's 1533-position model. The record is from RNAcentral.
AGUCGAACGGUAGCACAGGGGAGCUUGCUCCCCGGGUGACGAGUGGCGGACGGGUGAGUAAUGUCUGGGGAUCUGCCCGAUGGAGGGGGAUAACUACUGGAAACGGUAGCUAAUACCGCAUAACCUCGAAAGAGCAAAGUGGGGGACCUUCGGGCCUCACACCAUCGGAUGAACCCAGAUGGGAUUAGCUAGUAGGUGGGGUAACGGCUCACCUAGGCGACGAUCCCUAGCUGGUCUGAGAGGAUGACCAGCCACACUGGAACUGAGACACGGUCCAGACUCCUACGGGAGGCAGCAGUGGGGAAUAUUGCACAAUGGGCGCAAGCCUGAUGCAGCCAUGCCGCGUGUAUGAAGAAGGCCUUCGGGUUGUAAAGUACUUUCAGCGGGGAGGAAGGGAUGAAGGUUAAUAACCUUCGUCAUUGACGUUACCCGCAGAAGAAGCACCGGCUAACUCCGUGCCAGCAGCCGCGGUAAUACGGAGGGUGCAAGCGUUAAUCGGAAUUACUGGGCGUAAAG